Molecule: long non-coding RNA, 2155 nt
Organism: Leopardus geoffroyi (Geoffroy's cat)
Lineage: Eukaryota; Metazoa; Chordata; Mammalia; Carnivora; Felidae
Exons: 4
Source: RefSeq, a predicted model, not a curated record
UCUCUGCACUGAGGAGCCUGCUUGGAAUUCUCUCUCUCUCCCUUUGUCUGCUCCUUCCACUCACUCUCUCAAAAUAAAUAAUACAAAAUAAGAUCACCCUGGUUGCAAUGUGGAGAAAAGUUUGAGGAAGGAGAGCUUGGAGAAAGAAGACCAGUGAGGAGCUUUGACGCAACUCCAGCUGAGAAAUAAUUGCAAGAAAAAAGAGAUUUUAAAAAUACAGAAUGGUUUGAUGACUAACCAGAGCUAAAGAUAGAAGGAGUCACAGGUGUCUAGAUUUCUACCUUGGGUGGCCACGGUAGUGCUUUUUUUCUGAGCUAGGAAACACAAAGCAGUGUGGGUGAGGCAGGAAAGAUUAUGAACAUCCUGAAGGGAAGAAUCAUUAUUUUCUUCACAUAAUGUGUGUCUUAGCUGGAGCUGCUAUACCAAAAUGCCAUCAAGUGGUGAAUGGAAUUAUCUCCAUUGGCAACUAUGCACCAAAAACCCAUAGAAGGUCCCACCUUCGUGCUAUCUGCAGAUGCAAGAAUGGUUGAGGCCUCAGAUCCCAGCUCCUACUACAGUGAGAAAAAGAGAACUAAUGGUAGCCCUUAAUGGUGCACAUGAGCAUAGCAAUCCCCAGUUCACCAAGUGCUUUUAAUUCGUUUCAGUCCAUUCUCCCACCAUCAGUAGUAAGAGAUAGGAAGAAGGGCAGUGUGGCAAAGGACAAAGAAGCAGACCCACGUCACCUAGGCUGAGAUGCCAACUCCACCUUUGUAAGCUGGGUGACCUCAAGCAGUGACAUCGUCUCCUCCAGCCAUUAUGAAGAUAAAAGGAAAUGUACAUGACACAUCUCGCAGGGUGGUAUGUGCGGUGACUGGGUUGCUGGUAUAGUGGCCGUCCCAGUUCUGCGGAUAUGGACAUGGCUCAAUGGAAGUCAUGAAAAAACUGUAAGCAAGAGCUGAGACUUUCUGAGAGAUCUCCAGAUGAGGAACUGAGGCUUGUUGAAACUUCUCUUGGUUCUCUCUGGUCAAAGAGAGAGCCUAGAAGAAUCGAAGAAACCUCUGGCUGAAUAUUGGUCGGGCAUAGGGUGAGCCAAGAUCUCCUUAUACAUGGUACUGGGAGCCACCUUUCUGUCCAGGAGCUAAAGAAGACACUAGCCACCCAGAGUGACCUUCCUUGUUCCUGCUGCUUCAAUGCACAAACAGGUUGUGAAACAUCUGGGCGGUGACUCAGCCUGGGGGCCUGUUCUGCUGGUCAGCUCAGACGGGCUAGGGCUGUUUGGUUGAGCCUCGAAAGGACAUCCUGUCUAACAAACACAUUGCCUGUCAAAGCCCUGACAGGGGGUGCCAAGCACAGACUGUGAACUCUAGCCCCUGAGGCGUCACAGAUGAUUGAACUGGGGUGCCUGAGUUGUAUACAACAUCUCCUUGUUGUUAUUCUGACCUAAUAACCAACCAGGGUCAAUGUCAUGAAGAGGGAAACGUAUUAGAGGCUGGGGAGCUCCUAUUUCUCAAGAGGCAGUUUGAAAUUGAUAGCCAGGUCCUGGGCUUUUGGUGUCCCCGUUAGGCAGACCUGAGUUCAGAUCCUAGCUCUGCUGUUUAUUGUCCUUGUGAGCUUGGACAGGUGGUUUACUCUUGGUGGAUUUCAAUUUCCUUAUUCUAUAAAAUGCCCAUUUUUUCAAAAUUAUCUUUUAGAAAUAAAAGAUGUAAAUUUCUUGAAACAUAGGAAAUUCUCCAUAAAUUGUUACUAGGAUCCUGUGCCAAGGUCUUCCUCUUCCUCUACUCCAAACCAAAAUUUUCCCUUCUGAACUGAAAGGAUUUAUAUUGAAGAGGCACUCAGGCAGAAGUGGUAAGAUAGCAACCAGAUAUACUCAAGCCAGGUUUUUUCAUUGCUAUUCCAUUGGUUAAUGGAUUUAUUUCCUAAUAUUAGAAUCAAGGAGUCUGGUAGACUGAAAAUUGGUUCCCCAAAAUAUUCAGAUCCUAAUCUGGAACUGGUCAAUGUUACCUUGUAUGGCAAAAGCGACUUCGUAGAAGUGAUUAAAUUAAGGAUGUUAAGAUUAUCUGGGUGUGCCCUAAAUGUAAGCACGGGAAUCUUUAAGCGCGAAUGAGCGGGGGAGGGGCAGAGAGAGAGACAGAGACACAGAAUCCAAAGCAGGCUCCAGGCUCUAAGCUGUCAGCAC